RNAcentral lists this ribosomal RNA (487 nucleotides) under uncultured rhodophyte. RNAcentral's name for it is "bacterial SSU rRNA". It matches the Rfam family "Eukaryotic small subunit ribosomal RNA", at positions 53 to 550 of the family's 1831-position model. The record is from RNAcentral. Lineage: Eukaryota; Rhodophyta.
GCAUGUCCAAGUAUAAGCCCUCAUAGGGUGAAACUGCGGAUGGCUCAUUAAAUCGGUUGGAAUCUACACGAGAGUGUAACUUAAACGGAUAACCACGGAAAAUCUGCGGCUAAUACGUGCAUCAAAGUAGGCUUCUGGCUUACUGCAUUUAUCAGAUUGAAAGGAUGAGGGGUAACUCUCAACUUGAAUGAUGAUAAACUUAAAUAGCGGAUCGUACGAGCUUUGACUCGACGACAAUUCGUUCGACUUUCCGCCCUAUCGACUUUGGAUGGUAGUGUAGUGGACUACCAUGGUGGUUACGGGUGACGGAGAAUUGGGGUUCGAUUCCGGAGAGGGAGCCUGAGAGAUGGCUACCACUUCCAAGGAAGGCAGCAGGCGCGAAAAUUGCCAAACCUACAAAGUAGGAGGCAGUGACAAUAAAUAUCGGAGGGUCAAAAUGAUCCGACUGGAAUGAGAUGGAUGUAAAUAAAUCUACGAGAAGCAAUUG